AAUCCAUGCAUCAAACAUUUCCGAAUUAAAUCUUGAAACCAUUCCCAAGCUUCAUAUAAUGUUUCAUCCUCUGAUUGUCGAAUAGAUAUGAUGUCACUUCUGAGCUU
Non-coding RNA from Gossypium raimondii (Peruvian cotton), 107 nucleotides. The record is from Rfam. NCBI's taxonomy places the organism in Eukaryota, Viridiplantae, Streptophyta, Magnoliopsida, Malvales, Malvaceae.